AUGGUGUCAUGGAGUGAUGGGUCGGAUAGCAGCGAGCACACCUUGGAGUACAUGAGCUCAGCUUCCGACGACGGCACCAUUAAGGUUCCUGCUAGCAUUGAAGACUCAGAUUUCGAGGGCCCCGAGACUGAAUUGCAUGUUUUGUGCCAUGUACACGGGAAGGCAUCAGAGAGGCGUGUUGCUUUCGAAGGAAUUCACACUGGCAGGAGGUUUCUUUGUUGCGCAGAGAAGGAAGGUAAAAACUGUGGACUAGUAGAAUGGAUUGAUCCAUCUUGGCCCAAUACCCUUGAGAAUGCAUUAUCCAAGUUAUGGUUUAUGUAUGAACAGAGUAAGAGAGACAGGACCGAGGACAAUCUGAUGAAUUAA
RNAcentral lists this ribosomal RNA (366 nucleotides) under Triticum aestivum (bread wheat). RNAcentral describes it as "partial small subunit ribosomal RNA". Lineage: Eukaryota; Viridiplantae; Streptophyta; Magnoliopsida; Poales; Poaceae. The record is from RNAcentral.